AUGGGUUAUGGGUCUUUUCUAGUUAUAUGUCCCUCAUUUAGCUUCAAUCUUUGUAAUGUGGUAUUCAUUCACCUUCAUCUCUCACAUUCACAUUUGCUAUGAUGCUAUCAUAUAUAACACUUUGUUAUUCUAAAUCAUCCAUAUUCAUCCCUAGACUUGUUCAACAUCUUAUGUAUUGAUUCUUCCUAUUGUACAGUGUAA
Molecule: unclassified non-coding RNA, 201 nt
Filed under: Hevea brasiliensis (rubber tree)
Lineage: Eukaryota; Viridiplantae; Streptophyta; Magnoliopsida; Malpighiales; Euphorbiaceae
Source: RNAcentral